AGAUGUAUGCCCUAGAAGCCAAUUUUGGCUGACACAUUAUUAAUUCUAGGACAUAAUUUGUACUUGACUUUAUUAUUAUUGAAUAAAUGAAAGGCAUCUUUUUCAUUCAUAUUAUUAUUGUGUCUAUGAAUCGUCCAAAGAAUUAAUAAGAUGAUGAUGCAUAUUCUCAAGAGUUGAGAAUUUGAGCCAUGUAUCAUUAGUGAUUAAUUU
This 210-nucleotide long non-coding RNA is filed under the name Phoenix dactylifera (date palm). Its description in RNAcentral is "long non-coding RNA (PDAC_LNC011806)". Lineage: Eukaryota; Viridiplantae; Streptophyta; Magnoliopsida; Arecales; Arecaceae. The record is from RNAcentral.